Molecule: ribosomal RNA, 484 nt
Filed under: uncultured bacterium
Lineage: Bacteria
Description: partial 16S ribosomal RNA
Rfam family: Bacterial small subunit ribosomal RNA
Source: RNAcentral
AUUGAACGCUGGCGGCAGGCCUAACACAUGCAAGUCGAGCGGAUGAAGGGAGCUUGCUCCUGGAUUCAGCGGCGGACGGGUGAGUAAGGCCUAGGAAUCUGCCUGGCAGUGGGGGAUAACGUCCGGAAACGGGCGCUAAUACCGCAUACGUCCUGAGGUAGAAAGGGGGGGAUCUUCGGACCUCACGCUAUCAGAUGAGCCUAAGUCGGAUUAGCUAGUUGGAGGGGUAAAGGCCUACCAAGGCGACGAUCCGUAACUGGUCUGAGAGGCUGAUCGGUCACACUGGAACUGAGACACGGUCCAGACUCCUACGGGAGGCAGCAGUGGGGAAUAUUGGACAAUGGGCGAAAGCCUGAUCCAGCAAUGCCGCGUGUGUGAAGAAGGUCUUCGGAUUGUAAAGCACUGUUAGUUGGGAGGAAGGGCAGUAAGUUUAUCCCUUGCUGUUUUGACGUUACCAACAGAAUAAGCACCGGCUAACUUCGUG